CAGGACGAACGCUGGCGGCGUGCCUAAUACAUGCAAGUCGAACGCUUCUUUCCUCCCGAGUGCUUGCACUCAAUUGGAAAGAGGAGUGGCGGACGGGUGAGUAACACGUGGGUAACCUACCCAUCAGAGGGGGAUAACACUUGGAAACAGGUGCUAAUACCGCAUAACAGUUUAUGCCGCAUGGCAUAAGAGUGAAAGGCGCUUUCGGGUGUCGCUGAUGGAUGGACCCGCGGUGCAUUAGCUAGUUGGUGAGGUAACGGCUCACCAAGGCCACGAUGCAUAGCCGACCUGAGAGGGUGAUCGGCCACACUGGGACUGAGACACGGCCCAGACUCCUACGGGAGGCAGCAGUAGGGAAUCUUCGGCAAUGGACGAAAGUCUGACCGAGCAACGCCGCGUGAGUGAAGAAGGUUUUCGGAUCGUAAAACUCUGUUGUUAGAGAAGAACAAGGACGUUAGUAACUGAACGUCCCCUGACGGUAUCUAACCAGAAAGCCACGGCUAACUACGUGCCAGC
Molecule: ribosomal RNA, 516 nt
Filed under: Enterococcus faecalis
Lineage: Bacteria; Bacillati; Bacillota; Bacilli; Lactobacillales; Enterococcaceae
Description: bacterial SSU rRNA
Rfam family: Bacterial small subunit ribosomal RNA
Source: RNAcentral